Molecule: ribosomal RNA, 478 nt
Filed under: uncultured bacterium
Lineage: Bacteria
Description: partial 16S ribosomal RNA
Rfam family: Bacterial small subunit ribosomal RNA
Source: RNAcentral
GACGAACGCUGGCGGCGUGCUUAACACAUGCAAGUCGAGCGAAGAAAUUCCUUCGGGAAUGGAUUAGCGGCGGACGGGUGAGUAACACGUGGGUAACCUGCCUCAUAGAGGGGAAUAGCCUUUCGAAAGGAAGAUUAAUACCGCAUAAGAUUGUAGUUUCGCAUGAAACAGCAAUUUAAGGAGUAAUCCGCUGUGAGAUGUACCCGCGUCGCAUUAGCUAGUUGGUGAGGUAAAGGCUCACCAAGGCGACGAUGCGUAGCCGGCCUGCGAGGGUGAGCGGCCACAUUGGGACUGAGACACGGCCCAGACUCCUACGGGAGGCAGCAGUGAGGAAUAUUGCACAAUGGGGGAAACCCUGAUGCAGCAACGCCGCGUGAGUGAUGACGGUCUUCGGAUUGUAAAACUCUGUCUUCAGGGACGAUAAUGACGGUACCUGAGGAGGAAGCCACGGCUAACUACGUGCCAGCCGCCGCGGUAA